RNAcentral lists this ribosomal RNA (465 nucleotides) under uncultured bacterium. RNAcentral's name for it is "bacterial SSU rRNA". It matches the Rfam family "Bacterial small subunit ribosomal RNA", at positions 1 to 451 of the family's 1533-position model. The record is from RNAcentral.
CCCUUAGAGUUUGAUCCUGGCUCAGGAUGAACGCUGGCGGCGUGCUUAACACAUGCAAGUCGAACGGGGAACCUUUUAUUGAAGCUUCGGCAGAUUUAGCUGGUUUCUAGUGGCGGACGGGUGAGUAACGCGUGGGUAACCUGCCUUAUACAGGGGGAUAACAGUCAGAAAUGACUGCUAAUACCGCAUAAGCGCACAGAGCUGCAUGGCUCGGUGUGAAAAACUCCGGUGGUAUAAGAUGGACCCGCGUUGGAUUAGCUGGUUGGUGAGGUAACGGCCCACCAAGGCGACGAUCCAUAGCCGGCCUGAGAGGGUGAACGGCCACAUUGGGACUGAGACACGGCCCAGACUCCUACGGGAGGCAGCAGUGGGGAAUAUUGCACAAUGGGGGAAACCCUGAUGCAGCGACGCCGCGUGAAGGAAGAAGUAUCUCGGUAUGUAAACUUCUAUCAGCAGGGAAGAAAA